Acanthosepion pharaonis is the source of this 108-nucleotide non-coding RNA. NCBI's taxonomy places the organism in Eukaryota, Metazoa, Mollusca, Cephalopoda, Sepiida, Sepiidae. The record is from the annotation of a GenBank genome assembly.
GCUAUAUCAUAUUGAAACACUACUUCCUGUACAAUCACCAAAGUUAAGCAAUGUCGAGUCUGGUCAGUACUUAGAUGGGUGACUGCUUGAAAAACCAGGUGCUGGAAG